Molecule: ribosomal RNA, 322 nt
Filed under: uncultured Methanomassiliicoccales archaeon
Lineage: Archaea; Methanobacteriati; Thermoplasmatota; Thermoplasmata; Methanomassiliicoccales
Description: bacterial SSU rRNA
Rfam family: Archaeal small subunit ribosomal RNA
Source: RNAcentral
CGCAAAACGGGGAUUAGAUACCCCGGUAGUCCAGGGUGUAAACGCUGCAGACUUGGUGUUGGAGGCCCUUCGGGGGCAUUCAGUGCCGGAGAGAAGUUGUUAAGUCUGCUACUUGGGGAGUACGUCCGCAAGGAUGAAACUUAAAGGAAUUGGCGGGGGAGCACCGCAACGGGAGGAGCGUGCGGUUUAAUUGGAUUCAACACCGGAAAACUCACCAAGGGCGACUGUUACAUGAAAGCCAGGCUAAUGACCUUGCUUGAUUUUCAGAGAGGUGGUGCAUGGCCGUCGUCAGUUCGUACCGUAAGGCGUUCUCUUAAGUGAG